This 869-nucleotide long non-coding RNA is filed under the name Podarcis lilfordi (Lilford's wall lizard). Lineage: Eukaryota; Metazoa; Chordata; Lepidosauria; Squamata; Lacertidae. The record is from RNAcentral.
GACCAGGUUUUAUUAUUAGUAGUACAGUAUUAGUAUUAGACUUUAUAUACUGCCCUAUAUCCGGAGGUCUCAGGGUGGUUCACAGAACAAAAUCAAUAUAUAAAACCACAAAAUUUAUAAUCAAAAUAAAAACAUCAACCCAAUACCCCCCCUCCCAAAAAAAACCCCACCACAUUUUAAAAGGACAUAGGAUAUAAAAAGGUCUGCAAGGCAGGAAGCAGGUCUUCCAGAACUCACAGCCCAGGUGGUCUGCCAUACCUGGGAAGAUGAUUCACUGAAAUGAACAUGCCCCUCUUUCCCUUUCUUAUACUUCUGAAAACCUUCAAGCUUCCUCAUGCCUGUUGAUGCUACCUUCUUCUUGUGUGUGCCAUUUUGGCUAUGUAAUGAUAGGCACUCAGGCAAUGAGUUUGCCAUUAGUAUGCAUGAUGAUAAUAAUUCCCUGCAUGGUCAGUGGACCUAGCACUAUUGACUUAGAAGCAGUUUACCACCAUCACUUGUGCAGUAUGUUUACUUGGAAGUAAGAGCUAGUGUGCUCAGGACCAUUUCCAUGUUAAGUAUCUAUCGGAAUAUAACUCUCCAUGUUUGUACUACAAAACAUAGAUUUGAUAUUGCCUCCAACCCCUUUCCUAACCUUUGCUGUUUUCUUUUUCGAAAGCUGCUUUCCAAAGACAGAUGUUGCUUAUAAAGCUGAACUCUUAUCAGGCCAUCAGCCAAAUCAGAAAGAGAUAAUCAUUGCAAUUGUCUUCCUCCUUGGAGUGAGCCUCUUGAUUUUUAAAAAGUGAGUUAGUGCAUUCCUAAGAAAACUGUUGGGGAUGAUCAACACAUGUAUGAGAAGUGGGGGGUAAAUAAAAUCAUUUUGAUAUGUGUGA